GCUCCCGAAGCUGCCCCAUCUCCGCCUGCUCUUCCUGCCCGCUGUGUAGCUGUACCUCAGCUGCGGAGGGGGAGUGGCGUGAGCAGAGGGGCCGCCAGCUCGGACCCGCCUGAGGCUCUGUUCCCUCAGUUUCUUCCCGGACCAGUGCUUCUCCUUUCCAACUUCUCAGAUUCCUCUUCUCCCACACCCACCUCCCACAGUGCAUCUUCCCGACUCUGGUUCUUCUCUGAGAACCGAGAUUCUGCUCGCCCUCACAGUAUCUUUGUGUCAACUAACAAGGAUUUUUCUCUGCCAUCUUUUAGAA
RNAcentral lists this long non-coding RNA (304 nucleotides) under Rattus norvegicus (Norway rat). RNAcentral's name for it is "long non-coding RNA NONRATT006250". Lineage: Eukaryota; Metazoa; Chordata; Mammalia; Rodentia; Muridae. The record is from RNAcentral.